Molecule: ribosomal RNA, 468 nt
Filed under: uncultured bacterium
Lineage: Bacteria
Description: partial 16S ribosomal RNA
Rfam family: Bacterial small subunit ribosomal RNA
Source: RNAcentral
GACGAACGCUGGCGGCGUGCUUAACACAUGCAAGUCGAACGGAAAGGCCCUGCUUUUGUGGGGUGCUCGAGUGGCGAACGGGGGAGUAACACGUGAGUAACCUGCCCUUGACUUUGGGAGAACUUCAGGAAACUGGGGCUAAUACCGGAUAGGAGCUCCUGCUGCAUGGUGGGGGUUGGAAAGUUUCGGCGGUUGGGGAUGGACUCGCGGGUUAUCAGCUUGUUGGUCAGGUAGUGACUUACCAAGCCUUUGACGGGUAGCCGGCCUGAGAGGGUGACCGGGCACAUUGGGCCUGAGAUACGGCGCAGUCGCCUACGGGAGGCAGCAGUGGAGAAUAUUGCACAGUGGGCGGAAGCCUGUGGCAGAGACGCCGCGUGCGGGAUGACGGCCUUCGGGUUGUAAACCGCUGUCGCCUGUGACGAAGCGUGAGUGACGGUAAUGAGUAAAGAAGCACCGGCUAACUACGUG